AUUUAAGUAGUUUAAAAAAAAUUUAAAGUUGUGGUCUUUUAGAUAGGGUUCCUCUUAAAUAAUUACUAAAUUUUUGACAGAU
RNAcentral lists this transfer RNA (82 nucleotides) under Orchesella cincta. RNAcentral's name for it is "tRNA-His". Lineage: Eukaryota; Metazoa; Arthropoda; Collembola; Entomobryomorpha; Orchesellidae. The record is from RNAcentral.